UGCAAAAAAUAUUUCUGAUAAAAAAAAAAAAAGUUAAUUGUUUUAAAAUUAACUUAAAUUCAGAAUGUAACCAGUUAAAUUUAUUAAUUAUCAAUUAUUAAUUAUUAUCUUUUGGCUUAACUUAGCUCAUCUUGAGUUAAUUAUAUUCAUUACCAUGCCCACAUUUGCAAUUCUUAUAUAGUGUUAACUCCACCAUUGACGGUCCUCAGUCCGUAUGAAAAAGGAGGAAGGGCGCUUUAAAGACAUUUUUCUUUUGUAAUUUAAGUAUUAAAAAUUAAUGAUGCUUCUCUUGGUCUUAAAGUUAUACCAUAUUACCAUUGCCCAAUUGCUGAAGAAGUAGGUAGCCAAUUUGAAUAGUGCAGAUCUUUGAAGACCAGGAUGUAUAAAUGUGAAUUGGAAAGUGGCUACAUGCCUACAUAUAACUAGUUCAGACUUCAGACAUAUAAAACUAAAUACUAAUACAAAAAAGUAUUAAGUAUUUUAGUUUUUACGUUUUACAUAAAAUGAUUUCUUUUAACUUUUAAGCUAAAUAAACCUAAAUUUGAUAUUUAUGAUGAUAAUUAAAUCAUUUUGAAGGACAAGAUAAUACAAUUUAAUAUUUAUAGUAUA
Aphis gossypii (cotton aphid) is the source of this 609-nucleotide long non-coding RNA. RefSeq lists it as uncharacterized. The transcript is spliced from 2 exons. The record is from RefSeq and is a predicted model, not a curated record. NCBI's taxonomy places the organism in Eukaryota, Metazoa, Arthropoda, Insecta, Hemiptera, Aphididae.